Molecule: ribosomal RNA, 497 nt
Filed under: Streptomyces sp. WAC 01420
Lineage: Bacteria; Bacillati; Actinomycetota; Actinomycetes; Kitasatosporales; Streptomycetaceae
Description: bacterial SSU rRNA
Rfam family: Bacterial small subunit ribosomal RNA
Source: RNAcentral
CAUUCACGGAGAGUUUGAUCCUGGCUCAGGACGAACGCUGGCGGCGUGCUUAACACAUGCAAGUCGAACGAUGAACCACCUUCGGGUGGGGAGUUAGUGGCGAACGGGUGAGUAACACGUGGGCAAUCUGCCCUGCACUCUGGGACAAGCCCUGGAAACGGGGUCUAAUACCGGAUACUGAACCGUCUGGGCAUCCAGGCGGUUCGAAAGCUCCGGCGGUGCAGGAUGAGCCCGCGGCCUAUCAGCUUGUUGGUGAGGUAACGGCUCACCAAGGCGACGACGGGUAGCCGGCCUGAGAGGGCGACCGGCCACACUGGGACUGAGACACGGCCCAGACUCCUACGGGAGGCAGCAGUGGGGAAUAUUGCACAAUGGGCGAAAGCCUGAUGCAGCGACGCCGCGUGAGGGAUGACGGCCUGGGUUGUAAACCUCUUUCAGCAGGGAAGAAGCGAAAGUGACGGUACCUGCAGAAGAAGCGCCGGCUAACUACGUGCCAG